This 72-nucleotide transfer RNA is filed under the name Sagamia geneionema. RNAcentral describes it as "tRNA-Val". It matches the Rfam family "tRNA". From Rfam's summary of the family: Transfer RNA (tRNA) molecules are approximately 80 nucleotides in length. Their secondary structure includes four short double-helical elements and three loops (D, anti-codon, and T loops). The record is from RNAcentral. Lineage: Eukaryota; Metazoa; Chordata; Actinopteri; Gobiiformes; Gobiidae.
CAGCACGUAGCUAAAUUAGAAUAGCAUCCCCCUUACACUGAGAAAGUACCUGUGCAAAUCAGGUCGUACUGA